RNAcentral lists this ribosomal RNA (253 nucleotides) under uncultured bacterium. RNAcentral's name for it is "partial 16S ribosomal RNA". It matches the Rfam family "Bacterial small subunit ribosomal RNA", at positions 524 to 776 of the family's 1533-position model. The record is from RNAcentral.
UACGGGGGGGGCAAGCGUUGUUCGGAAUUACUGGGCGUAAAGGGCUCGUAGGCGGCCAACUAAGUCAGACGUGAAAUCCCCGGGCUCAACCUGGGAAUUGCAUUCGAUACUGGAUAGCUAGAGUUCGGCAGAGGGAAGCGGAAUUUCGGGUGUAGCGGUGAAAUGCGUAGAUAUCCGAAGGAACAUCAGUGGCGAAAGCGGCUUCCUGGACCAGAACUGACGAUCAGGCACGAAAGCGUGGGGAGCAAACAGG